ACACCUGAUUCAUCUUACGCCAUAACUUCAGAAGAGAAACCAACUUAUCGGCCUCAUCUCUAAAAACACCCCCUUAACAUCGGCUCAUUUCCGCCUGUACUCCACAGGAGUCGCGUUUAGCUUUGGUAGCUCUGCAACAAAAAUAAUAUUUGCGGUUAAUAAUAAAUGCGCCGAGAUGCUUUGAAGUUGGAGGUUGCUGGUUCCUCUGAUCCAAGCCGGUGUUUGUACGCGCACGGGCUGUCGGUGGCUGACGCUAAGCUGAGGAGCUGUCUGAAAGGCAUUCUCUGCAGCAAAAGCCGAUACUUCAUUCUCCUAGUCAGAGAGGACAGACGCGCUGAUUAAUAGCAGACCCAUUGGGAAUGUGUAGAUUCAGCAAACUGGAUGUUGGGAGAUGAAGGUGAAGAUGGCGGUGCCAGUCUGUCCGAUAGCAGAGUGAUGGACCAGGUGUUUUUCCAUCUUCCUCCAUUAUUUCCUCAAACAGCGGACGUCCGUGCAGGGGUGCACAUCACUGGGACGGGAGAUGGGUGACGAAUACGAAGAAUGUCAUGUUGGUUCUAUGUCUCCCGGCUGGCCUGGGAACGCCUCGGUGUCCCCCCGGAAGAGCUAGAGGAAGUGUCUGGGGAGAGGGAAGUCUGGGCAUCCCUGCUUAGACUGCUGCCCCCGCGACCCGGCCCCGGAUAAGCGGAAGAUGAUGGUAUGGUAUGGAGUUUCUGUGGAUGCCGAUAAUUGUGGAGGGGGUGCUUUUUUCACUCAGAUGCUUUCUUCAUUGAAACUUGGUUAAAUGCAAUUGCUGGAAACUUUGCAGGCGCCACAGCAAAAGGUGGCCGUGUUAGGAGAGGGAGAGCAGAGCUGUAGCGAACACGCCGGGAGCAGGAGAUCACGGGCGAAAAAACAGGAUAUUAUGCACAAGGCCCGAUGGGGGCAAGUCUCUUGAGCCAGACGGCUACUUCUGCAGUCUUUGAAUGGCUCAGGUAAAGAUGUCCGAACAACUUAAAAUGGAAAUGUCAACGUUAUUAUUAUUGUUAUUGUUAUUAUUAAUAAACACACAAACGUGCGUUUUUGCUUGCGCUUUAGAAAACAAUACAUUCAAUUCCCGGGCAAGUUUGUGAGA
Esox lucius (northern pike) is the source of this 1111-nucleotide long non-coding RNA. The record is from Ensembl. Lineage: Eukaryota; Metazoa; Chordata; Actinopteri; Esociformes; Esocidae.